UUCCUUGUCGGGUAAGUUCCGACCUGCACGAAUGGCGUAAUGAUGGCCAGGCUGUCUCCACCCGAGACUCAGUGAAAUUGAACUCGCUGUGAAGAUGCAGUGUACCCGCGGCAAGACGGAAAGACCCCGUGAACCUUUACUAUAGCUUGACACUGAACAUUGAGCCUUGAUGUGUAGGAUAGGUGGGAGGCUUUGAAGUGUGGACGCCAGUCUGCAUGGAGCCGACCUUGAAAUACCACCCUUUAAUGUUUGAUGUUCUAACGUUGACCCGUAAUCCGGGUUGCGGACAGUGUCUGGUGGGUAGUUUGACUGGGGCGGUCUCCUCCUAAAGAGUAACGGAGGAGCACGAAGGUUGGCUAAUCCUGGUCGGACAUCAGGAGGUUAGUGCAAUGGCAUAAGCCAGCUUGACUGCGAGCGUGACGGCGCGAGCAGGUGCGAAAGCAGGUCAUAGUGAUCCGGUGGUUCUGAAUGGAAGGGCCAUCGCUCAACGGAUAAAAGGUACUCCGGGGAUAACAGGCUGAUACCGCCCAAGAGUUCAUAUCGACGGCGGUGUUUGGCACCUCGAUGUCGGCUCAUCACAUCCUGGGGCUGAAGUAGGUCCCAAGGGUAUGGCUGUUCGCCAUUUAAAGUGGUACGCGAGCUGGGUUUAGAACGUCGUGAGACAGUUCGGUCCCUAUCUGCCGUGGGCGCUGGAGAACUGAGGGGGGCUGCUCCUAGUACGAGAGGACCGGAGUGGACGCAUCACUGGUGUUCGGGUUGUCAUGCCAAUGGCACUGCCCGGUAGCUAAAUGCGGAAGAGAUAAGUGCUGAAAGCAUCUAAGCACGAAACUUGCCCCGAGAUGAGUUCUCCCUGACUCCUUGAGAGUCCUGAAGGAACGUUGAAGACGACGACGUUGAUAGGCCGG
This 905-nucleotide ribosomal RNA is filed under the name Escherichia coli O26:H11. RNAcentral describes it as "bacterial LSU rRNA". It matches the Rfam family "Bacterial large subunit ribosomal RNA", at positions 1965 to 2864 of the family's 2925-position model. The record is from RNAcentral. Lineage: Bacteria; Pseudomonadati; Pseudomonadota; Gammaproteobacteria; Enterobacterales; Enterobacteriaceae.